This 1397-nucleotide ribosomal RNA is filed under the name uncultured bacterium. RNAcentral's name for it is "bacterial SSU rRNA". It matches the Rfam family "Bacterial small subunit ribosomal RNA". The record is from RNAcentral.
UUUGAUCAUUGGCUCAAGACGAACGCUGGCGGCGUGCUUAACACAUGCAAGUCGAACGAUGAAGCCUAGCUUGCUAGGUGGAUUAGUCGGCGAACGGGUGAGUAAUACGUGAGUCGACCUACCUUUUGACUCUGGGAUAAGCCUGGGAAACUGGGUCUAAUACCGGAUACGACCAAUCUCCGCAUGGGGUGUUGGUGGAAAGCGUUAUGGAGUGGUUUUAGAUGGGCUCACGGCCUAUCAGCUUGUUGGUGAGGUAAUGGCUUACCAAGGCGACGACGAGUAGCCGGCCUGAGAGGGUGACCGGCCACACUGGGACUGAGACACGGCCCAGACUCCUACGGGAGGCAGCAGUGGGGAAUAUUGCACAAUGGGCGCAAGCCUGAUGCAGCGACGCCGCGUGAGGGAUGACGGCCUUCGGGUUGUAAACCUCUGUUAGCAUCGAAGAAGCGAAAGUGACGGUAGGUGCAGAGAAAGCGCCGGCUAACUACGUGCCAGCAGCCGCGGUAAUACGUAGGGCGCGAGCGUUGUCCGGAAUUAUUGGGCGUAAAGAGCUUGUAGGCGGUUGGUCGCGUCUGCUGUGAAAGGCUGGGGCUUAACCCUGGUUUUGCAGUGGGUACGGGCUAACUAGAGUGCAGUAGGGGAGACUGGAAUUCCUGGUGUAGCGGUGGAAUGCGCAGAUAUCAGGAGGAACACCGAUGGCGAAGGCAGGUCUCUGGGCUGUAACUGACGCUGAGAAGCGAAAGCAUGGGGAGCGAACAGGAUUAGAUACCCUGGUAGUCCAUGCCGUAAACGUUGGGCACUAGGUGUGGGGGACAUUCCACGUUUUCCGCGCCGUAGCUAACGCAUUAAGUGCCCCGCCUGGGGAGUACGGCCGCAAGGCUAAAACUCAAAAAAAAUUGACGGGGGCCCGCACAAGCGGCGGAGCAUGCGGAUUAAUUCGAUGCAAACGCGAAGAACCUUACCAAGGCUUGACAUAUACUGGACUGCGUCAGAGAUGGCGUUUCCCUUCGGGGCUGGUAUACAGGUGGUGCAUGGUUGUCGUCAGCUCGUGUCGUGAGAUGUUGGGUUAAAGUCCCGCAACGAGCGCAACCCUCGUUCUAUGUUGCCAGCACGUGAUGGUGGGGACUCAUAGGAGACUGCCGGGGUCGAACUCGGAGGAAGGUGGGGAUGACGUCGAAAUCAUCGAUGCCCCUUAUGUCUUGGGCUUCACGCGUGCUACGAAUGGCCGGUACGGAGGGUUGCGAUACUGUAAGGUGGAAGCUAUCCCCUAAAAGCCGGUCUCGGUUCGGAAUUGGGGUCUGCGAACUCGACCCCGUGAAAGUUCGGAGUCGCGAGUGAUUCGCGAUUCGGCGGCGGCUGCGGUAAGUCGUUCCCCGGGCCUGCGCGCACCGCCCGUC